CCUACGGGAGGCAGCAGUGGGGAAUCUUGCGCAAUGGACGAAAGUCUGACGCAGCCACGCCGCGUGAGUGAAGAAGGCCUUCGGGUUGUAAAGCUCUGUCGAGCGGGACGAAAAGCUCAUGAGUGAAUAGCUGAUGAGUCUGACGGUACCACUAAAGGAAGCACCGGCUAACUCCGUGCCAGCAGCCGCGGUAAUACGGAGGGUGCAAGCGUUGCUCGGAAUUAUUGGGCGUAAAGGGCAAGUAGGUGGUCUCAUUUGUCUAGGGUGAAAUCCUUGGGCUUAACCCGAGAAGGGCCUUAGAAACGGUGAGACUCGAGUCCUAGAGAGGGUCGUGGAAUUCCCGGUGUAGCGGUGAAAUGCGUAGAGAUCGGGAGGAACACCAGAGGCGAAGGCGGCGACCUGGAUAGGCACUGACACUCAACUGCGAAGGCGUGGGGAGCAAACAGGAUUAGAUACCCUGGUAGUCCACGCUGUAAACGAUGGAUACUAGACUAGGUGGGUCUUGACCCCUGCCGAGUCGGAGCUAACGCACUAAGUAUCCCGCCUGGGAAGUACGGUCGCAAGGCUAAAACUCAAAGGAAUUGACGG
This 588-nucleotide ribosomal RNA is filed under the name uncultured bacterium. Its description in RNAcentral is "bacterial SSU rRNA". It matches the Rfam family "Bacterial small subunit ribosomal RNA", at positions 338 to 916 of the family's 1533-position model. The record is from RNAcentral.